GCCGGUGUGGUUUAGUCGGUUAUAAUGUGUACCGUCGCCUUUCGGAGUUACAUUCGGAGACCUGCGUAGUGCAAGACCCAAGUUCGAUCCUUGGCGCCGGCC
Non-coding RNA from Lophium mytilinum, 102 nucleotides. The record is from the annotation of a GenBank genome assembly. NCBI's taxonomy places the organism in Eukaryota, Fungi, Ascomycota, Dothideomycetes, Mytilinidiales, Mytilinidiaceae.